Molecule: ribosomal RNA, 433 nt
Filed under: uncultured bacterium
Lineage: Bacteria
Description: partial 16S ribosomal RNA
Rfam family: Bacterial small subunit ribosomal RNA
Source: RNAcentral
AACGAACGCUGGCGGCAUGCCUAACACAUGCAAGUCGAACGAGACCUUCGGGUCUAGUGGCGCACGGGUGCGUAACGCGUGGGAACCUGCCCUUAGGUUCGGAAUAACUCCCCGAAAGGGGUGCUAAUACCGGAUAAUGUCUUCGGACCAAAGAUUUAUCGCCUUUGGAUGGGCCCGCGUUGGAUUAGCUAGUUGGUAGGGUAAAAGCCUACCAAGGCGACGAUCCAUAGCUGGUCUGAGAGGAUGAUCAGCCACACUGGGACUGAGACACGGCCCAGACUACUACGGGAGGCAGCAGUGGGGAAUAUUGGACAAUGGGCGAAAGCCUGAUCCAGCAAUGCCGCGUGAGUGAUGAAGGCCUUAGGGUUGUAAAGCUCUUUUACACGGGAUGAUAAUGACAGUACCGGGAGAAUAAGCUCCGGCUAACCCCGUG